GUGGGGAAUAUUGGACAAUGGGCGAAAGCCUGAUCCAGCCAUGCCGCGUGUGUGAAGAAGGUCUUCGGAUUGUAAAGCACUUUAAGUUGGGAGGAAGGGCAGUAAGUUAAUACCUUGCUGUUUUGACGUUACCGACAGAAUAAGCACCGGCUAACUUCGUGCCAGCAGCCGCGGUAAUACGAAGGGUGCAAGCGUUAAUCGGAAUUACUGGGCGUAACGCGCGCGUAGGUGGUUUUGUACGUUGGAGGUGAAAUCCCCGGGCUCAACCUGGGAACUGCCUCCAAAACUGCAUGACUAGAGUACGGUAGAGGGUAGUGGAAUUGCCUGUGUAGCGGUGAAAUGCGUAGAUAUAGGAAGGAACACCAGUGGCGAAGGCGACUACCUGGACUGAUACUGACACUGAGGUGCGAAAGCGUGGGGAGCAAACAGGAUUAGAAACCCUUGUAGUCC
RNAcentral lists this ribosomal RNA (450 nucleotides) under uncultured bacterium. RNAcentral describes it as "partial 16S ribosomal RNA". It matches the Rfam family "Bacterial small subunit ribosomal RNA", at positions 354 to 796 of the family's 1533-position model. The record is from RNAcentral.